UACGUAGGGUGCGAGCGUUGUCCGGAUUUAUUGGGCGUAAAGAGCUUGUAGGCGGUUUGUCGCGUCUGCUGUGAAAAUCCGGGGCUCAACCCCGGACUUGCAGUGGGUACGGGCAGACUAGAGUGUGGUAGGGGAGACUGGAAUUCCUGGUGUAGCGGUGAAAUGCGCAGAUAUCAGGAGGAACACCGAUGGCGAAGGCAGGUCUCUGGGCCACUACUGACGCUGAGAAGCGAAAGCAUGGGGAGCGAACAGG
This 253-nucleotide ribosomal RNA is filed under the name uncultured bacterium. RNAcentral describes it as "partial 16S ribosomal RNA". It matches the Rfam family "Bacterial small subunit ribosomal RNA", at positions 524 to 776 of the family's 1533-position model. The record is from RNAcentral.